Small nuclear RNA from Ailuropoda melanoleuca (giant panda), 108 nucleotides. The record is from Ensembl. Lineage: Eukaryota; Metazoa; Chordata; Mammalia; Carnivora; Ursidae.
GUGCUCGCUUCGGCAGCACAUAUACUAAAAUUGGAAUGAUACAAAGAAGAUUAGCAUGGCCCCCUGCGCAAGGAUGACAUGCAAAUUUCUGAAGCGUUCCGUAUUUUU